This 132-nucleotide ribosomal RNA is filed under the name Candidatus Enterocloster excrementipullorum. RNAcentral's name for it is "partial 16S ribosomal RNA". It matches the Rfam family "Bacterial small subunit ribosomal RNA", at positions 1 to 114 of the family's 1533-position model. The record is from RNAcentral. Lineage: Bacteria; Bacillati; Bacillota; Clostridia; Lachnospirales; Lachnospiraceae.
GAACAUGAGAGUUUGAUCCUGGCUCAGGAUGAACGCUGGCGGCGUGCCUAACACAUGCAAGUCGAACGAAGCGGUUUUGGUGAAGUUUUCGGAUGGAACCGGAACUGACUGAGUGGCGGACGGGUGAGUAAC